GCCAGAUCCAUGCAUCGGAUCAAGAGAGCAGCUGCUAAAAUACUAUUACAUAGCAGCAAACAGAUAUUUGAAGCUGCUGGUGCCUCUGGAGUCCCACGGACAUCAUGGUGUAGAGUCCUCCAGAGUCUUGCAACUGUGCAUAAACCUUCUAUUCGGCCAACACUAACCAAUGCUCACAAGCAGAAACGGCUGCAUUGGGCAGAAAAAUACAUGAAGACUAAUUUUC
This 226-nucleotide long non-coding RNA is filed under the name Pelobates cultripes (western spadefoot toad). The record is from RNAcentral. Lineage: Eukaryota; Metazoa; Chordata; Amphibia; Anura; Pelobatidae.